Molecule: long non-coding RNA, 475 nt
Filed under: Homo sapiens (human)
Lineage: Eukaryota; Metazoa; Chordata; Mammalia; Primates; Hominidae
Description: HSALNT0362188
Source: RNAcentral
AAAAAAAAAAAGAAAUAGAAAAAGUCGGGAACCUGGCAAGCUGCCUAACUGCUCUGUGCGUCGGUGUCCUCACCUGUGAUGCGGGGACAAAGCUGAAGAAGCCAGCAACCUGAAAACACCAAUGGGCACAGACAGAAGAACCUGCUCGCUCCAGCCAGAGACGUAUGAGGACUUGUAGGUCUGAAGAUUUGAGUGGAUAAAAUUCCAUCAUAAAAAUAAGAUGAAAAAGGGAGCUUCAGGAAAGCUGUCUUCUCUAAGUCACAUAAAGCUGGACUCAAACUUUUUGCCUCUACAAUUUUUUUUCACAAUACUGGGAUGACACCAAAAGGACUUAGGGAAAAGAAAAGGGCACCCACCCACCACAGAUAGCCAUGAGCUUUACAGUGCCCAUCUCAUGCCUUCAAAAGAAUCACUUAUUUCAUCAGGCACUGAAAUUUUUUGACUUGUGUAUAAUAAAAAAAAUCUAUUUAAUUGA